AGCAGCCGCGGUAAUUCCAGCUCCAAUAGCGUAUAUUAAAGUUGUUGCAGUUAAAAAGCUCGUAGUUGAAUUUCGGGAUCAAUUCGUCGGUCGUGCUUUCGGGUACGUACUGGUGUUAUUGGUUUCUCCCUUCUGACGAACCAUGAUGUCAUUAAUUUGGUGUUAUGGGGAGUUAGGACUGUUACUUUGAAAAAAUUAGAGUGUUUAAAGCAGGCAUUAGCUUGAAUACAUUAGCAUGGAAUAAUGAAAUAGGACGUUCGAUCCUAUUUUGUUGGCUUCUAGGAUCAACGUAAUGAUUAAUAGGGAUAGUUGGGGGCAUUAGUAUUCAACUGUCAGAGGUGAAAUUCUUGGAUUUAUUGAAGACUAACUACUGCGAAAGCAUUUGCCAAGGAUGUUUUCAUUAAUCAAGAACGAAAGUUAGGGGAUCGAAGACGAUCAGAUACCGUCGUAGUCUUAACCAUAAACUAUGCCGACUAGGGAUCGGAUGAUGUUAAUUUUUAAUGACUCAUUCGGCGCCUUA
Molecule: ribosomal RNA, 520 nt
Filed under: uncultured Glomus
Lineage: Eukaryota; Fungi; Glomeromycota; Glomeromycetes; Glomerales; Glomeraceae
Description: SSU rRNA
Rfam family: Eukaryotic small subunit ribosomal RNA
Source: RNAcentral